This 418-nucleotide ribosomal RNA is filed under the name Acanthamoeba hatchetti. RNAcentral's name for it is "SSU rRNA". It matches the Rfam family "Eukaryotic small subunit ribosomal RNA", at positions 779 to 1096 of the family's 1831-position model. The record is from RNAcentral. Lineage: Eukaryota; Discosea; Longamoebia; Acanthamoebidae.
GGCAGAUCCAUUUUCUGCCACCGAAUACAUUAGCAUGGGAUAAUGGAAUAGGACCCUGUCCUCCUAUUUUCAGUUGGUUUUGGCAGCGCGAGGACUAGGGUAAUGAUUAAUAGGGAUAGUUGGGGGCAUUAAUAUUUAAUUGUCAGAGGUGAAAUUCUUGGAUUUAUGAAAGAUUAACUUCUGCGAAAGCAUCUGCCAAGGAUGUUUUCAUUAAUCAAGAACGAAAGUUAGGGGAUCGAAGACGAUCAGAUACCGUCGUAGUCUUAACCAUAAACGAUGCCGACCAGCGAUUAGGAGACGUUGAAUACAAAACACCACCAUCGGCGCGGUCGUCCUUGGCGUCUCGGUUUCGGCCGGGGCGCGGGGAUGGCUUAACCCGGUGGCACCGGUGAAUGACUCCCCUAGCAGCUUGUGAGAA